Molecule: transfer RNA, 77 nt
Filed under: Nitrospira sp.
Lineage: Bacteria; Pseudomonadati; Nitrospirota; Nitrospiria; Nitrospirales; Nitrospiraceae
Also listed under: 2 other names
Description: tRNA-Pro
Rfam family: tRNA
About the family: Transfer RNA (tRNA) molecules are approximately 80 nucleotides in length.
Source: RNAcentral
CGGGGCGUAGCGCAGCUCGGUAGCGCGCCUGCUUUGGGAGCAGGAUGUCGCAGGUUCGAAUCCUGUCGCCCCGACCA